Long non-coding RNA from Triticum aestivum (bread wheat), 1535 nucleotides. RefSeq lists it as uncharacterized. The record is from RefSeq and is a predicted model, not a curated record. Lineage: Eukaryota; Viridiplantae; Streptophyta; Magnoliopsida; Poales; Poaceae. The transcript has 2 exons.
CAUUGCAGUCACGGACGCCUAAAUGUGUUGGGAUCUGCUCCCUCACCUUUCCCUCUUUGCAUUUUUCUUCUUUUAAGUGAUCGAUGGGUAAUUCCUCUUAUAGCCAAACCUGGACCACUCACCCUGCGUCCAGCCCUGUCGCGCGCAGUACUAGGCUGGCAGGACGGCAGGUUUGGCAGUGAUGGGCCCGUGAUUGCAGCCGGAGGUAAGGUUCUGUAGAACUGUCGGCCCAUCGCCCAUGUACAUGAUCGGUGCGUAACUUUAUCCACCCCGUCUCUCUCUUGCUCGUUUAUCCACCCCAUCAUUCUCUCUCGCUUGUUCUCCAUCCCGUCCAGAUCCCGCCGCCCCCAACCCUCCCACCCUUCCCCUCCACAGCAAGCCACCUCUACCAUCCCGGCUCCCUCCCUCUUCUGCCGCACAAAUAUCGGCGAGAUCCAGGGAGACGGGGACGUCGAUAUCGGCAUCAACCUCGCCAAGCUUGAUCCGGGGAUACCGGGGCCCCGGGCUGCCGUAGUGUUGGAUGUUGUGGCCGUCUCUUCCCACUGGCGGGAGACGCGGGGCCUGUCGCGGGCUUACCCGGGAGGGUCGACAGUGUGCACGACCUGUACUGCUUCCUGCUGGCCUCUCACGGCCUCCUCCUGGUCCACAGCUACUCCGCGACUCCAACUUGGAGGCAUUGAGAAAAGGCCUGUCUUUUUGUGCUCGAACUUCUUGCUUCUUCCCUUUGAUUGUUGGUGGACGUGUGAUUUUGUUGUUGUUCGGGCUGGAUAGGUCAAGCUGCAAAAGUAGUUGUAGCCAGAUUACUACUAAUUUUUAUAGAUUACUUACCAGGACGUUGAACGAAUUCAAUUCUUUCUAGUUUGUGUGCUAUUGUAUAUUUUAACUUUUGUGUUCCUAACUACGGCCCUCUGAAUGUAAUGUUGUUGUUCUGAAUUUUACCCUGGCCUGCCCCUAAUCAGUGUUUUUUUGGUUUGGUUUCCUGUGUAAUGCAUUUUGGAUACGGUGAUGCAGGUGACUAGCCGUAGAUGUGGCCUGGUGUCCCAAGCUUCUGCAUGGAGCUCGCCAUGCUUCACCAAGAAUCAUGACGAUGCUGCCUUGUGCUCGCCAUGCGCAGAACUAGGGUCGUGAGGAGGAAGACAAGGCUACACACGAGGAAAUUCGAGACGGAGGCGGCACCAAACAUAACUUGAGCCUGAUUUUUCUUGCUAGCUUAGCGUUUUGCUUUCAUAGGUUUGGAGCUCUAAAUUUAAGCUUUUGCUCUGAAUCUUCAAUUGAUCCACAGGUUUCUGAUCGUUCUGAACAAAUGCUUGAACUCUUUGUUGUUUGAUGUGAUUUUGGGAGUUCAUUAGACUUUGGAAAGUUGUUUGCUUUCCCUUAAUCGUUUUCUUAAUCUCCUCCCUUCUUUAGUGGAUCUCCAUGCAAGUGUUAGUGGGUAAUGCAUGGUUAAAUUAUAUUUUGGUGUUGGUUGUUGAGAGCAUGAGAUGAGACAAACAAUGAAAUGGAUUGUGGAUGAUCACAGGAAUGGUGAUUAUUUA